Entelurus aequoreus (snake pipefish) is the source of this 2991-nucleotide long non-coding RNA. RefSeq lists it as uncharacterized. The transcript is spliced from 5 exons. The record is from RefSeq and is a predicted model, not a curated record. Lineage: Eukaryota; Metazoa; Chordata; Actinopteri; Syngnathiformes; Syngnathidae.
AAAAACAAAAGAAGAAGAAGAAGAUCCACACUUCCGGGUGGUGAUGACGUCGCGUCGUGACGUCAUAUUUCAAAAUGGCAGAGCCCGCGGAAAGACCCCCUGGAGUCGACUCCAUUUCCCAAGAAAAGAUGUCAACAGUGCGACUUGUAACAAUUAUAAGGCCGAGGAGGGUUAUUUGAACACACACCAUUCAAUUAUUAUAAAUGAAAGUCACGUUUUUUUAACCGCUCCGGUCUCGUCCCAGCGGAAGUGACGCUAGCACGUCAUCAGAAUACAACAGAUCAACACGACGAGAGAGACAUUCUGCCGCUAGACAAAGGUCACCGAGCAGCGACGAAGUUUGCAUUUUCGGUAGAGGUCCAGGGAGCCACGAGGGCGGUGCUAAAGAGACGCGGGUUGCUGACCCCCGGCCUACACCCUAGACUGGCCGCCAGUUCAUCGCAGGACACAUGAAAAAGCCUUCGCCCUCAAAUCAGAGAAAAACAACAACACCAGAAAUGUGUCCCGUGAAAAACCGUCCGACCAGAACUCUAGUAACUAAAGUUCCUUGGGUGAAUAAUGGUAACUCACUACACCGGUAUGUUUUAGGGCUUUCAUGGCGAGUUUACUGACUGAAAUAAGUAAUAACUUUACACUGCUUUUUAUUAGAAAUGGCAACAGCAGAGGAUGGAUGUCCCAUAACAAGAAGGUGGAGAAAAAGAAGAAGCUUAUCGACUACGGUGUCGGCACGGACUACAAAGGCGGACCUGCACAAAUUUUCAGGUACCAGAAGGUGUUUUCACAGCCCCCAUCAAGGGAAUUUACUUUGUCACCCUCACCUGUGGCAAAACAUCUUCUAGCCUGUACGCAUGUGUGUUGAAGAAGGACAAAGACAAGAUGGUCACAGUGUUACUACGGCAAGAGGAAGGACAAAGACAAGAUGGUCACAGUGUUACUACGGCAAGAAGAAGGACAAAGACAAGAUGGUCACAGUGUUACUAUGGCAAGAAGGACAAAGACAAGAUGGUCACAGUGUUACUACAGCAAGAAGAAGGACAAAGACAAGAUGACCACAGUGUUACUACGGCAAGAAGAAGGUCAAAGACAAGAUGGUCACAGUGUUACUACGACAAGAAGAAGGACAAAGACAAGAUGGUCACAGUGUUACUACGGCAAGAAGAAGGACAAAGACAAGAUGGUCACAGUGUUACUACGGCAAGAAGAAGGACAAAGACAGGAUGACCACAGUGUUACUACAGCAAGAAGAAGGACAAAGACAAGAUGGUCACAGUGUUACUACGGCAAGAAGAAGGACAAAGACAGGAUGACCACAGUGUUACUACAGCAAGAAGAAGGACAAAGACAAGAUGGUCACAGUGUUACUACGGCAAGAAGAAGGACAAAGACAAGAUGACCACAGUGUUACUACGGCAAGAAGAAGGACAAAGACAAGAUGGUCACAGUGUUACUACGGCAAGAAGAAGGUCAAAGACAAGAUGGUCACAGUGUUACUACGGUAAGAAGAAGGUCAAAGACAAGAUGGUCACAGUGUUACUACAGCAAGAAGAAGGUCAAAGACAAGAUGGUCACAGUGUUACUACAGCAAGAAGAAGGUCAAAGACAAGAUGGUCACAGUGUUACUACGGCAAGAAGAAGGACAAAGACAAGAUGACCACAGUGUUACUACAGCAAAAGAAGGACAAAGACAAGAUGGUCACAGUGUUACUACGGCAAGAAGAAGGUCAAAGACAAGAUGACCACAGUGUUACUACGGCAGGAAGGUCAAAGACAAGAUGAUCACAGUGUUACUACGGCAAGAAGAAGGACAAAGACAGGAUGACCACAGUGUUACUACAGCAAGAAGGACAAAGACAAGAUGGUCACAGUGUUACUACGGUAAGAAGGACAAAGACAAGAUGGUCACAGUGUUACUACGGCAAGAAGAAGGUCAAAGACAAGAUGGUCACAGAGUUAUUACGGCAAGAAGAAGGACAAAGACAAGAUGGUCACAGUAUUACUACAGCAAGAAGAAGGACAAAGACAAGAUGGUCACAGUGUUACUAUGGCAAGAAGAAGGUCAAAGACAAGAUGGUCACAGUGUUACUACGGUAAGAAGAAGGACAAAGACAGGAUGACCACAGUGUUACUACGACAAGAAGAAGGACAAAGACAGGAUGACCACAGUGUUACUACAGCAAGAAGGACAAAGACAAGAUGGUCACAGUGUUACUACGGUAAGAAGGACAAAGACAAGAUGGUCACAGUGUUACUACGGCAAGAAGAAGGUCAAAGACAAGAUGGUCACAGUAUUACUACAGCAAGAAGAAGGACAAAGACAAGAUGGUCACAGUGUUACUACGGCAAGAAGAAGGUCAAAGACAAGAUGGUCACAGUGUUACUACGGUAAGACAAAGACAGGAUGACCACAGUGUUACUACGACAAGAAGAAGGACAAAGACAGGAUGACCACAGUGUUACUACAGCAAGAAGGACAAAGCCAAGAUGGCCACAGUGUUACUACGGUAAGAAGGACAAAGACAAGAUGGUCACAGUGUUACUACGGCAAGAAGAAGGUCAAAGACAAGAUGGUCACAGAGUUAUUACGGCAAGAAGAAGGACAAAGACAAGAUGGUCACAGUAUUACUACAGCAAGAAGAAGGACAAAGACAAGAUGGUCACAGUGUUACUACGGCAAGAAGAAGGACAAAGACAAGAUGGUCACAGUGUUACUAUGGCAAGAAGAAGGUCAAAGACAAGAUGGUCACAGUGUUACUACGGUAAGAAGAAGGACAAAGACAGGAUGACCACAGUGUUACUACGGCAGCGGUAGCAACAGCACUUUGAUGGAAGUGAAUGUGGGAGACAGUCUCGAGGUUAUGUUGUCUAAUGGUUUCACUAUCUACUGUGACUCAUCUAUAUUUAACACCUUCAAUGUCUUUCUCAUCAAACACACCUGCAAGUGAGUUCUGAUCCUCUUAUUGGUAAUUUUGAAACAGUAUCAUAUGCAUAUUG